CACCAUGGCCGGCUAAUUUUUUUCUAUUAUUAGUAGAGACAGGGGUCUCGCUCUUGUUCAGGCUGGUUUCAAAUUCCUGAGCUCAAGUGAACCUCCGUCCUUGCCCUCCCAGAGAGCUGGGAUUACAGGCAUGAGCCACUGCGUCCAGCCCAGAGCAGUGUUUUAAUUGUAGAAAUUUUUUGAAAGAUGGGGAAUGUAGAUAUUUCUGCACUUUUGUGUUAUGAUUGGACAGCUGCAGCAGAGAAUUGGACUUAGCUGUGACAGCCUGACAGUAUCCUUUGUCCAGUAGUAAGUAGCUGUUUCUGUCGUUUAAAUAGUGAGGGAUAGAAGUCCAUGAACUGUCAAACUCUAACCUGUCCUUGACUUCAGGGAACGAUGACAUCAGUUGGAAUUUGGCAUUGGAGGUUGUUUGCAGCUAAUGAAACUUUUCUGUUAUUAAGAUCAACAUUUGAGACUGGCGUUCCAAGAAUUCUCCAAAGCCUGUUCACAUGCAGUUUGAAGAGCCCUUUGAACAUCAAAUGGCUCUCACAAAAGAAGGCUUUUUAUCAACUGAAUGUGAAGGGGAACAUGAUUCAAAGGAAAAGAAUCCCACCACGGGCUUUUUCUGAGCUCCUAAAGGAAAGUGGAACUCAGCACUUGGAGAAGUGACUGUCACCUUGGAAUCUAACCAAACCCCAGAGCCUGGAGGACUCGGGCUCCUCAGGAAAUUUCCAGAAGGCUUGACUGAAGUGUGGCAGUGAUGGAGACCAUCGAGGAGGCUUCCUAGCACAGACCAGAAAUGGCAGCGACUGCAGUGCAGGUUCAGCUGUUUCAAGCUAGCGACUGCAGGCGCUGGCAGCACUCCGCUAACAUGUGCGGACAGUGAUGUGCUAGAAAUGAUUCUUUCUGACUACAGCUGCUUGUGGUGAUGCCCUGAGGGCACAGGAAAGGGAUGUGAAGGUAAGGCUGAGUGUCUUUCUGUGUCUUUUUGAAUUUGUUUAAGGGAUUGAAGUAUCCUGUCUGCGAUGUCUUACAGACUGAAGGGUAUGAGGGACUGAGGAAAUUGGGAAAAUACAGAGGAGUUUGAUGGAUCUAAAUUUAGAUGGUAAUAGGUGAUUACUUUGGACAGGGCCCUUGUAUUAGGCAGAGUCCUGUGUUACAGCAGAUGACCAAGGACUUAGUGGGCAGGCUGAUGCAGAGCGUGAUGAAGAGCCUGUUACAGUGAUCUUGGAGAGUGUCCCAAAGUGUAGUAAGUUGCGAUUCUGUUAGCUGAGAAAUGGAUUUUCUAAAUAUUUACUGUGUGG
Molecule: long non-coding RNA, 1283 nt
Filed under: Microcebus murinus (gray mouse lemur)
Lineage: Eukaryota; Metazoa; Chordata; Mammalia; Primates; Cheirogaleidae
Description: lncRNA (ENSMICG00000048618.1)
Source: RNAcentral